UGGGGAUUCGCCAAGCGGUAAGGCACUGGACUUUGACUCCACUAUGCACAGGUUCGAAUCCUGUAUCCCCAGCCA
Molecule: transfer RNA, 75 nt
Filed under: Acidaminobacter sp. JC074
Lineage: Bacteria; Bacillati; Bacillota; Clostridia; Peptostreptococcales; Acidaminobacteraceae
Description: tRNA-Gln
Rfam family: tRNA
About the family: Transfer RNA (tRNA) molecules are approximately 80 nucleotides in length. Their secondary structure includes four short double-helical elements and three loops (D, anti-codon, and T loops). Further hydrogen bonds mediate the characteristic L-shaped molecular structure. tRNAs have two regions of fundamental functional importance: the anti-codon, which is responsible for specific mRNA codon recognition, and the 3' end, to which the tRNAs corresponding amino acid is attached (by aminoacyl-tRNA synthetases). tRNAs cope with the degeneracy of the genetic code in two manners: having more than one tRNA (with a specific anti-codon) for a particular amino acid; and 'wobble' base-pairing, i.e. permitting non-standard base-pairing at the 3rd anti-codon position.
Source: RNAcentral